UACAUAUUUUUAUUCUGGAAGUAUAGACCUGAAACCUUCUGAAGGUUAUAUAUGUGAACUGAGUCCUUGUCAGAAUGGAGGUAAUUGUACACUUGUUUCAGCUCCUUCUAAUUACACCUGUGAUUGUACUACUGGCUAUCAAGGAGUUAAUUGCUCAACCCUUAUUCCAUGUAAAACUGGAUCAAUC
Molecule: long non-coding RNA, 187 nt
Organism: Amphimedon queenslandica
Lineage: Eukaryota; Metazoa; Porifera; Demospongiae; Haplosclerida; Niphatidae
Exons: 3
Source: RefSeq, a predicted model, not a curated record